GUGCCAGCAGCCGCGGUAAUACGUAGGCAGCGAGCGUUGUUCGGAGUUACUGGGCGUAAAGAGUGCGUAGGCGGUUGGCUAAGUUUGGUGUGAAAUCUCCCGGCUCAACUGGGAGGGUGCGCCGAAAACUGGCUGACUAGAGUGUGGGAGAGGUAAGCGGAAUUCCUGGUGUAGCGGUGAAAUGCGUAGAUAUCAGGAGGAACACCUGCGGUGUAGACGGCUUACUGGACCACGACUGACGCUGAGGCACGAAAGCGUGGGGAGCAAACAGGAUUAGAUACCCUGGUAGUCC
This 292-nucleotide ribosomal RNA is filed under the name uncultured bacterium. Its description in RNAcentral is "partial 16S ribosomal RNA". It matches the Rfam family "Bacterial small subunit ribosomal RNA", at positions 505 to 796 of the family's 1533-position model. The record is from RNAcentral.